UGGAUAGAUUAUUGUAUUCGACUGUAUUCAUGACGUGAAAUAGGGGAUUACACUGUUUUUAAACGGAAAGUGAAUCAAUUAACAUAAUAAACUCCU
RNAcentral lists this microRNA precursor (96 nucleotides) under Nicotiana sylvestris (wood tobacco). Its description in RNAcentral is "MIR6152 microRNA precursor family". It matches the Rfam family "MIR6152 microRNA precursor family". RNAcentral also lists the same sequence under 1 other name. The record is from Rfam by way of RNAcentral. Lineage: Eukaryota; Viridiplantae; Streptophyta; Magnoliopsida; Solanales; Solanaceae.